UUGGGGUGUAGCCAAGCGGUAAGGCAGCGGACUUUGACUCCGCCACUCGCAGGUUCGAAUCCUCCCACCCCAGA
Molecule: transfer RNA, 74 nt
Filed under: Anotrichium furcellatum
Lineage: Eukaryota; Rhodophyta; Florideophyceae; Ceramiales; Ceramiaceae
Also listed under: 1 other name
Description: tRNA-Gln
Rfam family: tRNA
About the family: Transfer RNA (tRNA) molecules are approximately 80 nucleotides in length. Their secondary structure includes four short double-helical elements and three loops (D, anti-codon, and T loops).
Source: RNAcentral